CAGAGCUCCACCAGCUCCUGAAGACAUGUGUGAACUUCAUGGCAGAGUGAUUUUCCCCAAAACAAAGAAGCUAUCUGUCCUAUACCCGAAUGCAAUUUGCCAACACUAGAGAACAGAAGAACUGUUUGAGAUUUUAAAAUGGGAGUCCUGCUGACAAAUGAUAAUAUCUACCAUUUAUCAGAAAGAAAGAGAAGUGGAGAUACACAGGCUAAGAUAAUGAAGGAGAAACUUAAAGAGCAAUGAAGACUCAAUGAGAACCAG
Myotis brandtii (Brandt's bat) is the source of this 261-nucleotide long non-coding RNA. RefSeq lists it as uncharacterized. Lineage: Eukaryota; Metazoa; Chordata; Mammalia; Chiroptera; Vespertilionidae. The transcript is spliced from 3 exons. The record is from RefSeq and is a predicted model, not a curated record.